Molecule: ribosomal RNA, 231 nt
Filed under: uncultured Eubacteriales bacterium
Lineage: Bacteria; Bacillati; Bacillota; Clostridia; Eubacteriales
Description: uncultured Clostridiales bacterium partial 16S ribosomal RNA
Rfam family: Bacterial small subunit ribosomal RNA
Source: RNAcentral
CGGGUGAGUAACGCGUGAGCAACCUGCCUAUGACAGUGGGAUAGCCUCGGGAAACCGGGAUUAAUACCGCAUAAAAUCGUAGAAACACAUGUUUUAGCGGUCAAAGAUUUAUCGGUCAUAGAUGGGCUCGCGUCUGAUUAGCUAGUUGGUGAGAUAACAGCCCACCAAGGCGACGAUCAGUAGCCGGUCUGAGAGGAUGAACGGCCACAUUGGAACUGAGACACGGUCCAA